This is a long non-coding RNA of Gorilla gorilla gorilla (western lowland gorilla), 1211 nucleotides long. RefSeq lists it as uncharacterized. NCBI's taxonomy places the organism in Eukaryota, Metazoa, Chordata, Mammalia, Primates, Hominidae. The transcript is spliced from 6 exons. The record is from RefSeq and is a predicted model, not a curated record.
GCUCUAUAGGGACCAGCAGGAAGAUCCACGGGGAGGUAGAGGCAAUCCGUGCUUGUACAUUUAGCAAACAACUAGAAGUUCAAGGGCCCCUGGGAAUUCUGAAAAUGAGGCAUAAGUCUCAGCCAUCAGGAUGGAGGGCAGACACAGAACUUCAACACAAUGACAGGGGCUUCAAAUGACUAAGUUCCGUCCAGGUACCCUUGGAAAGGGGAUGUACGGACACAGACACCUACAAAGGGAAGACUAUGGGAAGACAGAGACAGAAGACCACCUCCAAGCCAAGGAGUUCUGGGGGCUUCUAGAAUCCAGGAGCGAGACCUAGGUCAGAUCCUCCCUGACAGCCUUCACAGAGAUGUGUGCUGCUGCGUGGAAGAUGACUGAGCAUGAGACACGCAGUCCCCGACCGCGUGGAGCCUACGUCCUAGAGAGGAGGCACAGGAACACCAGACACAAGAACGGGAACUGAGUCACCAGCGGGGAAGACAGACCUUAACCAAGUAGCUUCACUAAGAAACAGAAGUGAUUAAAAGGGAAGAAACGUGGUUGUCUUAAGGCAAGUCACAAAAGAAUAUGAUGUGCUCUGGGGUAACCAAGGCAGGCUUCCCUGAGGAAGUGACCCCUGAACUGAGACCUAAAGACUGAUUCAGAGUUAAUGCAUCAUACAGCCCCAGAUGGAGAAUCAGCAUGUGCAAACGUCCAGAAGAAACCUACAGCAAGACCAGCACAGCCCAACAGCCCCAGAGAGGAGCCCCACGUCCUUUAGGGUGAGCCCAGGGCUGACCUAAGGAGAUCCACAACAUGGCUGAGAAAGACGGGGCUGUUGUCUAGGGCCCACCUGUGGCUGCAGGGUAUAGGCAGCUUCCAGCAGGUACUGUCGGAGCCUCGGGUCCCGUUUCUGCAGCGUCACGGAGGCGAACACAGGCAAUGAGAGCAAGUAGGGCUGGCCAGGCACCGGCCAGGUCACUCCAGUGCACAGUCGCCAGCCCCAGGUGUAGGACACUGCAGAGAGAGCUUGUGGAUUCAGUCACAUGACCAUACCCUCCCUCUUUCCCCUCCAGCCCGCUUCUCCCCUUUAAACAAAGGGAUGGAGAGCAUUAGGACAAAUACCUAAUGCAUGCGGGGCUUAUAACCUAGAUGACAGGUUGAUGGGUGCAGCAAACCACCAUGGCACAUGUACACCUAUGUAACAAACCUGCAUGUUCUGCACAUGU